RNAcentral lists this unclassified non-coding RNA (6369 nucleotides) under Homalodisca vitripennis (glassy-winged sharpshooter). RNAcentral's name for it is "uncharacterized LOC124362653, transcript variant X1". The record is from RNAcentral. Lineage: Eukaryota; Metazoa; Arthropoda; Insecta; Hemiptera; Cicadellidae.
ACUCUGUUUGAACAAACGGCACUACCCCAAGUAAGAAUGAAGUUGCUUGUUCCUCCCAAACAGCUUAACAUUUCAAGAGUAAAUGUCUCUUUGCUGUACCAGCAAGACUUGGGUGGUCCAGUGUCGAAACUGGAGGAGUGGACAAUAGAUAUGUCAGAUAAACAGCCAGGAGAUUUUAUUUCAACAGGGAUGUUUGACACCAAAUACAUCACUGGAUAUUACUACUUCAACAGCAGCUUCCAGAGCAGUCACUGCUUGGCCGAGUGCCACAGUUCUUCUACACCCCAGCUUUGUAUUCCUGGUUCAAGAAGAGGUAUCCAGGUAAUGAGUGUUAUCAUGCUGAUUGCCUCAAUUGGUUUUGCACUUUUGGCGCUAUUGGUUUUGAGGAACAAAUUCUACAAGAAAAUAAUUGAUGGUCCAGAAAAAUCCCCAAUUGUGCUGUUCAUAUACGAGUCUAGUUAUCCAUCUCAUAUUGAAAACAUAUACAAGUUCAGAGAGUUUCCCCAGUAUAACUGAUACAUUGAGUGGAUCUGUUCUACAUUUUGAAAGCAGUUACUGCAGUGUUUUUUAUUUGCAGGUCCAGAAAAAUCCCCAAUUGUGCUGUUCAUAUACGAGUCUAGUUAUCCAUCUCAUAUUGAAAACAUAUACAAGUUCAGAGAGUUUCCCCAGUAUAACUGAUACAUUGAGUGGAUCUGUUCUACAUUUUGAAAGCAGUUACUGCAGUGUUUUUUAUUUGCAGGUCCAGAAAAAUCCCCAAUUGUGCUGUUCAUAUACGAGUCUAGUUAUCCAUCUCAUAUUGAAAACAUAUACAAGUUCAGAGAGUUUCCCCAGUAUAACUGAUACAUUGAGUGGAUCUGUUCUACAUUUUGAAAGCAGUUACUGCAGUGUUUUUUAUUUGCAGGUCCAGAAAAAUCCCCAAUUGUGCUGUUCAUAUACGAGUCUAGUUAUCCAUCUCAUAUUGAAAACAUAUACAAGUUCAGAGAGUUUCCCCAGUAUAACUGAUACAUUGAGUGGAUCUGUUCUACAUUUUGAAAGCAGUUACUGCAGUGUUUUUUAUUUGCAGGUCCAGAAAAAUCCCCAAUUGUGCUGUUCAUAUACGAGUCUAGUUAUCCAUCUCAUAUUGAAAACAUAUACAAGUUCAGAGAGUUUCCCCAGUAUAACUGAUACAUUGAGUGGAUCUGUUCUACAUUUUGAAAGCAGUUACUGCAGUGUUUUUUAUUUGCAGGUCCAGAAAAAUCCCCAAUUGUGCUGUUCAUAUACGAGUCUAGUUAUCCAUCUCAUAUUGAAAACAUAUACAAGUUCAGAGAGUUUCCCCAGUAUAACUGAUACAUUGAGUGGAUCUGUUCUACAUUUUGAAAGCAGUUACUGCAGUGUUUUUUUAUUUGCAGGUCCAGAAAAAAUCCCCAAUUGUGCUGUUCAUAUACGAGUCUAGUUAUCCAUCUCAUAUUGAAAACAUAUACAAGUUCAGAGAGUUUCCCCAGUAUAACUGAUACAUUGAGUGGAUCUGUUCUACAUUUUGAAAGCAGUUACUGCAGUGUUUUUUAUUUGCAGGUCCAGAAAAAUCCCCAAUUGUGCUGUUCAUAUACGAGUCUAGUUAUCCAUCUCAUAUUGAAAACAUAUACAAGUUCAGAGAGUUUCUCCAGUAUAACUGAUACAUUGAGUGGAUCUGUUCUACAUUUUGAAAGCAGUUACUGCAGUGUUUUUUAUUUGCAGGUCCAGAAAAAUCCCCAAUUGUGCUGUUCAUAUACGAGUCUAGUUAUCCAUCUCAUAUUGAAAACAUAUACAAGUUCAGAGAGUUUCCCCAGUAUAACUGAUACAUUGAGUGGAUCUGUUCUACAUUUUGAAAGCAGUUACUGCAGUGUUUUUUAUUUGCAGGUCCAGAAAAAUCCCCAAUUGUGCUGUUCAUAUACGAGUCUAGUUAUCCAUCUCAUAUUGAAAACAUAUACAAGUUCAGAGAGUUUCUCCAGUAUAACUGAUACAUUGAGUGGAUCUGUUCUACAUUUUGAAAGCAGUUACUGCAGUGUUUUUUAUUUGCAGGUCCAGAAAAAUCCCCAAUUGUGCUGUUCAUAUACGAGUCUAGUUAUCCAUCUCAUAUUGAAAACAUAUACAAGUUCAGAGAGUUUCCCCAGUAUAACUGAUACAUUGAGUGGAUCUGUUCUACAUUUUGAAAGCAGUUACUGCAGUGUUUUUUAUUUGCAGGUCCAGAAAAAUCCCCAAUUGUGCUGUUCAUAUACGAGUCUAGUUAUCCAUCUCAUAUUGAAAACAUAUACAAGUUCAGAGAGUUUCCCCAGUAUAACUGAUACAUUGAGUGGAUCUGUUCUACAUUUUGAAAGCAGUUACUGCAGUGUUUUUUAUUUGCAGGUCCAGAAAAAUCCCCAAUUGUGCUGUUCAUAUACGAGUCUAGUUAUCCAUCUCAUAUUGAAAACAUAUACAAGUUCAGAGAGUUUCUCCAGGAUAACUGUUAUAUUGAACCAAGGUUGGAUCUCCUGGACAUAUCCAAAACAGAAUCUAUGAAUCCAUGGCAAUGGUAUUACAAGGCAUUUGAAGAGGCUAACUAUGUGCUUGUAUUUACAUCUCCAAAUGACAACUCAAAGAAGGGUAUCCAUGAGGACAAUGUGUAUCGCAAUCUGCACACCUACGCUCUCAAACUACUAAUCGUAUACUUGUUGCAUAAAAACAAACUCAAAUUCUCAGUAGCAUCCGUCAAACUCCCUGGAUGUUCUUGGGAAUCACUUCCUCCUGAAGCUAAAAUUGUAGAGAAAAGAUUUUCGUUACCCGAACAACUGACUCAUCUGUUCAAGUUCUUGAAUGUUCCACCUGUGAAGAAUGGUAGCUCAUUGUUAGUAUCUGCUCUUCAACAACCGAGGAGCCCCCCGCAGUUUAUUGUUUCGAGACCAAUCACUCCACUUAAACUUCCCUUCAAUUCUGGAGAUUUUGAUUUGGACAGGGAAGAAAUAGAAGAUGAAGAAGUAAGGAACUCUAUAGUUAUAAAAGGUUUCCAACUAAACCUGGAUGAACAAUCUACAAGUGAAGAUGAAGAAGAGAAUGAUCAUCAAGAACUGCCUUUUGUCGGACUUCAAUUUUGAAACUUUAUCUCGGUAGGUUAUCUCCAAUCAUUUAAUGGAAGAAUGCAAAAUUAAUCCACUUCUCAUCUAAUUUAUAUUUUUCAAGAAUAAAGUAUAUGACUUAAAUGUAUAGUCAUAUAUCAAUUUAUCAGUUCUAUUACUACUAAAAACUUUUCAAACAUUCGAUGGUUAAAAAUUGGUAAGUGAUACAUUCAGCACAAAUUAAUAAAAAAAUGUAUUUUUAUAAAUCAUCAAUUUUUUAUGUGUAAAAUCCGGAUAGAUUUAAUUUCUAAUCUCUAAAUGUAAAAAUAAAAAAGUAGGUGCUUACGUUAUCAUUUAAAGUUGUGGACUGUGUAUGACUUUACUUGUACAAGGCCUUUCCAGAAGUAAAUAUUUUACUACCAUUUUAAGUCCAUUAAACUUCCAUAUGGUAGGAUAAAAGUUUUGUUCCAUACUAAGAUGUUAUACAUGUGAAAUGAAUCACAUUCUAUAAAAAAAAUAUUGUUUGUCACUUAAACAUAGCAAUAUUUAUACUCUCUCAUUUUUAAGAUCUGUAUUACUACACAAAGUUCUUUCUAUUUAAUCGUAAUUGGUUGAGUGUUAGCAAUUGGAAAAGUUUCAUUUCUGUCCAUCUGACUAUCUGUGCGCAAGAUAUCUUGUAGACAAACUGACCUAUAGACUUACAAUUUUGAAUGAACCUUCAUUUCUACAACACCACACUGAGUUUGUUGGUGCUGCAUGUCACUCUCUGGGAUUUAGCUGAGUAUUAGCGAAUAUUUUUACAUGGUCAUAUAGGUGAUCAUGAUGGCAACAAGAAAAUAACAUAUUCAAUAAAUUUGUAAAUAAAUUUAGUACAAUCAUAAGGGAUUUUAACAUAUGUGACAUUGUGUAGACUUUCAUUAAUAGAGUAAAAAUAUAAAAUAAUAGAGUGGAAAAUCAAUGUCAGUGUGAAAAGUCAAGAUUUGAUAUCAGCACACUCUUGCAUGGUUGUACACUCCCUAGCUCACUAAAGCUAUUAAACUCAACCUAAAGAACAAAAAUGUAAAUGUAUCAUGUAGCAAGAAAUCUCAAGAAAGAUUUAAUCUGUGACCUUUAAAGUUUGCAUGAAACUUCUUUUCUGCAUAGACAAGAAUGAGUUCUCUAAUGGUGCAUGUCCAACCAUAGAAUUUGGUUUACCGCUAUGGAAGUCUAUCAAUCAGUACACUGACACAAUUUCUCUUUUAUCUGCCGGAUGGGACGUAAAAAUGUCUCUUGUGUAUGAUUGUCUGCCUGUGUAUAUGUCCGCAAGACAUCUCGAGAAUGCAAUGAGCUUUAGAAUUGAAAUGUUGCAUACAAUCACAGCGAAGCCUCUUGUACAACACAUGGUGUGGCAUACUCUUAAUUUGUACUGGUAAACAAUUUGUUCUCAUAAUUGAAAUGUUGCAUACAAUCACAGCGAAGCCUCUUGUGCAACACAUGGUGUGGCAACUCUUAAUUUGUACUGGUAAACAAUUCGUUCUCAUAAUUGAAAUGUUGCAUACAAUCACAGCGAAGCCUCUUGUGCAACACAUGGUGUGGCAACUCUUAAUUUGUACUGGUAAACAAUUUCGUUCUCAUAAUUGAAAUGUUGCAUACAAUCACAGCGAAGCCUCUUGUACAACACAUGGUGUGGCAUACUCUUAAUUUGUACUGGUAAACAAUUUGUUCUCAUAAUUGAAAUGUUGCAUACAAUCACAGCGAAGCCUCUUGUGCAACACAUGGUGUGGCAACUCUUAAUUUGUACUGGUAAACAAUUCGUUCUCAUAAUUGAAAUGUUGCAUACAAUCACAGCGAAGCCUCUUGUGCAACACAUGGUGUGGCAACUCUUAAUUUGUACUGGUAAACAAUUUGUUCUCAUAAUUGAAAUGUUGCAUACAAUCACAGCGAAGCCUCUUGUGCAACACAUGGUGUGGCAACUCUUAAUUUGUACUGGUAAACAAUUCGUUCUCAUAAUUGAAAGUUGUAUUUGUUCAAAUUAAUCUUUAUUUUUGUUAUCCUAAAUAGUUUUUGUAAAACACAAUUAAAAAAAUAAAAACCAUUCUGUAAAAAAUGUAUUAACUUGAAUGUUUUAUUUCGUAGCUUAGUUGGAUGAAUGAUGCACCAAAAUCUUAGGUACAAAACUAAUUAAUAGCUUCAUAUUCUGAAAUGAUCAUAUACACUGGCUUCUAAAUUGCAUGUCUGAAACAGAGUUAGUUUUAACCCUCUAAUUGCAAGUAAUUUUUCCUUACAUGCUAGGAAUGGUUUAAAUGGGUUUUUAAAGCUACUAUUAUGGUUAGAAUUUGAUAAUAAAUGCCUUGAAAACCAUAAAAUAACACAAAUCAAUAAAAUAUAAAAUGCAAAAUGAAUGCAAAAUGGAUGUCUUAUACCUGGUACACUUACACAAGAAUGCUCUGAUUCCGACAACUUCCAUCUAAGCCAACCACCGUUAAUUUACGUUGGGCCCUCCUGCCAGCUUUUCCACAGACCAGUGAGUGCACGCAAGACUGGAGAAAUUCCUUACAUUGGGUGUGGGAAUCUAACCUGUAACUCCAAGGCCAAAUCUCACGUCCAAUAGUAGUGCCUUAGACCACAUUGCCAUCCUGACUUGUUGUCUUGGGUGUGCAGAUAACUCACUUACAUAUCUCUUUGUUAGCGCUCUAACAUGUAAUGAUUGUGACCCAUAGCGCUUAUAGAGGUAAUUGCUGGUUACCUUGAUACUAUAUUCAUCUUUGUACUAUACAGAUCAUUCAGCAUACUUACCAGUUAGUGCAUAAAACACAUUUUGAGUGGUAAAUGGUUGUGAACCAUACUAUAGUAAGUGCUAUAGCCUACUAUUGUAAACUAACAAAUAUUAUCAUAUUAAUUAAUAAUGAACCUGUGAUACAUUCUUUACUUAUGGAUAAACCUGGUAGAUUUAUUAUUACAUCUUAGCUAUUUCUAAAUUGUAAGAACUAAAGCUGUACACAUGUAAAUAUUAAUGUGUUUUAUGUUUUGUAUGAAAUAGUGUAUCACAUUCUAUGUGAAGCCUGAAUAACUUUUGUUUAGCAUGGUUAAGUUUUUUUCUAAACAUAUGAAAAUAUGCUCCAAAUCACCAAUGAACAUGUCUGAAUUACGAUAAAUAUAAUUUGGAUUACUUAUUCCAAACAAUGAAAAUAUUACUGUAAAUAGCAAACAAGUUUAUUGAAUAAAGUACAAUGUGUUUUGUAUAUAAGAUGUUUUUAUUGGUAUUAAAUGUUAUAUAAGAUGUUUUUAUUGGUAUUAAAUGUUAUAUAAGAUGUUUUUAUUGGUAUUAAAUGUUAUUUAUGUA